Molecule: long non-coding RNA, 971 nt
Filed under: Homo sapiens (human)
Lineage: Eukaryota; Metazoa; Chordata; Mammalia; Primates; Hominidae
Description: HSALNT0399862
Source: RNAcentral
UCUCUCCAAUCCUAAGUUGUAUGAAGAGUUCUUCACACAGACACUUACAUGCACACACAUUCUCUGAGCAGGUCUGCUCAGAAUUGCCUGGCUGUGACUUUGUUCUCAAAAUAUGUUGGUGUUUGGCAGCUAUGUCAGACUAUCAGCCAGUCCCUAAAUACACCUUAUUAUUUCUCGUCAUUUAUGUCUCUGGGAUGAAAAAUAUAUCAGCCUGGUUGGUAAGAACAGAGUCGCUAAAUGUGUUAAAGAAAUAAAGGGUUUCAUACAGGAUUGGGGCUUACCCAAACAUGGGAGGGGCUGGGAGAGUCAUGGUCUGAAGGCUGCAGUUAAAGGGUAGGAGAAACAGUCACCUACAACUCAGAACUGGAAAGACUGGAACUCUUGGGCGUGCCUGAGAAGCUGCUGUGACUGCCUGCCAGAGUGGGAGUGCCCAGUGAGGUUUGCUAAACCACAUGCUCCCUAAAACUGCGGUGUGAGCCAACAUGACCUCCCAAGAGCUUUCCUCCUGCCUUCCCACCACAGGCUUCUCAUUGGUAAUAAGAUUCAUGUUCAAACCUGGAACCUCUCAGGGAAAGGAGUGCUAGGAAGUGGCUCCAAGUCUCAGAUGGGACUCCUGGGGGUGCCACGUUGAUAACAGGUUAUAUGUAUUUUGAAACAGGAAAUCUCGCCAUCCUCACCAAAGCCAUUUCCUUGAGAGGAUUUUAUCUGGUUUGUCUCCUUGACUCCAGGCAGGGCUCCAUUCCAACCAGAUGGAAGAAUGCAGACAUCUCACAUCAUUUACACCCAGAAGGCUGUCAGCAGCAGCGCUCAGGGAGUGAGAGUGUUUAAUCUCGAGGAGGAAAUAGAAUGUAUACACACCCUGCAAACUGAGAUGUUUUACGUUGGCUCUGGCUCCUACCGCCCCCCAUGUGUGGCAGCAGCUACCAAGACUCUACUGUGAAUCCCCAUGACUGCAAUGAGAAUGAACAAAA